GUGCCAGCCGCCGCGGUAAUACGGAGGGUGCAAGCGUUGUCCGGAUUUAUUGGGUUUAAAGGGUGCGUAGGCGGCCCGUUAAGUCAGCGGUGAAAGAUUCCGGCUCAACCGGGAGAUUGCCGUUGAUACUGUCGGGCUUGAGUGUUGAUGGGGUACAUGGAAUUUAUGGUGUAGCGGUGAAAUGCAUAGAUACCAUAAGGAACACCGAUAGCGAAGGCAUUGUACUUAUCAACAACUGACGCUGAGGCACGAAAGCGUGGGUAGCGAACAGGAUUAGAUACCCGAGUAGUCC
RNAcentral lists this ribosomal RNA (292 nucleotides) under uncultured bacterium. Its description in RNAcentral is "partial 16S ribosomal RNA". It matches the Rfam family "Bacterial small subunit ribosomal RNA", at positions 505 to 796 of the family's 1533-position model. The record is from RNAcentral.